RNAcentral lists this long non-coding RNA (943 nucleotides) under Prunus dulcis (almond). Its description in RNAcentral is "sRNA ncRNA". Lineage: Eukaryota; Viridiplantae; Streptophyta; Magnoliopsida; Rosales; Rosaceae. The record is from RNAcentral.
UUGGAUUAUCCCAAAUCCUAAUUAUCUUCUAAAAUAUCAAACGGGUCCACACCACAAUAGCAACUUGGUCCUCCUCAAUCACCCAUACCCAUGAUCCUUCCUUAAAUUGAUGAGUGCAGCAGAACCUUUCGAAAGAGCAAAAAAGAAAAGCAACUGGCACAGUACAAAUGGGUCACUGUUCAUCAGCAGCUCUGUUAGCGAUGGUGGCGUUGACCCUGUUGACCACAACUCACGGCAUCAACAACAACAGCAGCGGCGGCGGCAGGGACACGUGGUGCGACGGCCUCAGCGACCCAUCAUGCCUCAUUGCAAACAGCGACUUGGACGGCAUGGAGUUCCUGAUGGACUCGGAAAUCAACAGAAGGAUCUUGGCCGGAUAUCGAGGUGUAACCGGACCGGCACUAGAUCCCAGCAAAGCGGCGUCGUGUGAUCGGAGGGGUUUCCCUCCUUGCCAUCCCGGCUCCAACAGAAAUCCCCCGGCGCCCAAUUGCGAUCAGACAAGGUACAAUCGCGAGUGCUACCGCAAUUGACGACCCAAACGACGUAAUUUCAUCUUGUGCCAAAUUUGGGUGCAACUAGGUUUGGUGGUUGCAAGUAGUAAGUACAGAAUAAAGGUUCAAUUGAUAUGGUGUGUUAACUGUAUCAAUGAAAUUGUUGUAAGUGUGUAUUGAUUCUCUUGUCUUGUGUUCAUGUUUAUGAUUUGGAGAUUCAAUUGUUUUUACUUUUCUGUGUAACAAAGGAUUUGUGAAGAAGAACAAAUAAUUUCUCAAUGAUUUAAGGUUGAGAUUCCUUUUAGUGUUUCCUGUUCCAUCUGCCAAGAAAAAGAUUAAAAAAAUGGCCAGUGGUGGUGUGUGUCUGUGUUUAGUGGGUAUGCAUUGCAAUUUGCAAGGAUAGUGAAAUCCUAACCAGACUUUAUUAAAUACCAAAUUAUGUCCAUUCCAUC